Molecule: transfer RNA, 72 nt
Filed under: Ovis aries (sheep)
Lineage: Eukaryota; Metazoa; Chordata; Mammalia; Artiodactyla; Bovidae
Rfam family: tRNA
About the family: Transfer RNA (tRNA) molecules are approximately 80 nucleotides in length. Their secondary structure includes four short double-helical elements and three loops (D, anti-codon, and T loops).
Source: Rfam by way of RNAcentral
UCUCUGGCAGUCCAGUGGUUAAGACACUGUGCCUCCACUGCAGGGACACAGGUUCGAUCCCUGGUCAGAGAA